Molecule: ribosomal RNA, 254 nt
Filed under: uncultured bacterium
Lineage: Bacteria
Description: partial 16S ribosomal RNA
Rfam family: Bacterial small subunit ribosomal RNA
Source: RNAcentral
CACGUAGGGUGCGAGCGUUGUCCGGAAUUAUUGGGCGUAAAGAGCUCGUAGGCGGUGUGUCGCGUCGGCCGUGAAAACCUGCAGCUUAACUGUGGGCUUGCGGUCGAUACGGGCAUCACUGGAGUUCGGCAGGGGAGACUGGAAUUCCUGGUGUAGCGGUGAAAUGCGCAGAUAUCUGGAGGAACACCGGUGGCGAAGGCGGCAUCCUGGACCGGCAUUGACGCUGAGGCGCGAAAGCUAGGGGAGCAAACGGG